UACAGAGGUCUCAAGCGUUGUUCGGAAUCAUUGGGCGUAAAGCGCGUGUAGGCGGUCCGGUAAGUCCGCUGUGAAAGUCGGGGGCUCAACCCUCGGAUGCCGGUGGAUACUGUCGGGCUUGAGUACGGAAGAGGCGAGUGGAAUUCCUGGUGUAGCGGUGAAAUGCGCAGAUAUCAGGAGGAACACCAAUUGCGAAGGCAGCUCGCUGGGACGUUACUGACGCUGAGACGCGAAAGCGUGGGGAGCAAACAGG
This 253-nucleotide ribosomal RNA is filed under the name uncultured bacterium. Its description in RNAcentral is "partial 16S ribosomal RNA". It matches the Rfam family "Bacterial small subunit ribosomal RNA", at positions 524 to 776 of the family's 1533-position model. The record is from RNAcentral.